GACGAACGCUGGCGGCGUGCCUAAUACAUGCGAGUUGAGCGCUGAAGGUUGGUACUUGUACCGACUGGAUGAGCAGCGAACGGGUGAGUAACGCGUGGGGAAUCUGCCUUUGAGCGGGGGACAACAUUUGGAAACGAAUGCUAAUACCGCAUAAAAACUUUAAACACAAGUUUUAAGUUUGAAAGAUGCAGUUGCAUCACUCAAAGAUGAUCCCGCGUUGUAUUAGCUAGUUGGUGAGGUAAAGGCUCACCAAGGCGAUGAUACAUAGCCGACCUGAGAGGGUGAUCGGCCACAUUGGGACUGAGACACGGCCCAAACUCCUACGGGAGGCAGCAGUAGGGAAUCUUCGGCAAUGGACGAAAGUCUGACCGAGCAACGCCGCGUGAGUGAAGAAGGUUAUCGGAUCGUAAAACUCUGUUGGUAGGGAAGAACGUUGGUGGGAGUGGAAAGCUCAUCAAGUGACGGUAACUAACCAGAAAGGGACGGCUAACUACGUG
RNAcentral lists this ribosomal RNA (497 nucleotides) under uncultured bacterium. RNAcentral describes it as "partial 16S ribosomal RNA". It matches the Rfam family "Bacterial small subunit ribosomal RNA", at positions 28 to 507 of the family's 1533-position model. The record is from RNAcentral.